RNAcentral lists this ribosomal RNA (274 nucleotides) under uncultured bacterium. Its description in RNAcentral is "partial 16S ribosomal RNA". It matches the Rfam family "Bacterial small subunit ribosomal RNA", at positions 523 to 796 of the family's 1533-position model. The record is from RNAcentral.
ACACGGGGGGCGCAAGCGUUAUUCGGAAUUAUUGGGCGUAAAGGGCGCGUAGGCGGUCUUGUCGGUCAGAUGUGAAAGCCCAGGGCUCAACCCUGGACGUGCAUUUGAAACAGCAAGACUUGAGUACGGGAGAGGAAAGCGGAAUUCCUGGUGUAGAGGUGAAAUUCGUAGAUAUCAGGAGGAACACCGAUGGCGAAGGCAGCUCUCUGGACCGAUACUGACGCUGAGGCGCGAAGGCGUGGGUAGCGAACAGGAUUAGAAACCCCGGUAGUCC